AGGUGUGGGACCAUCCACGGUUUCGCGCCGCAGUAACGCUUAAGUGCCCCGCUGGGGAGUACGGCGCAAGGUAAAAUCAAAGGAAUUGACGGGGGCCCGCACAAGCGGCGGAGCUGCGGAUAAUUCGAUGCAACGCGAAGAACCUUACCAAGGCUUGACAUGUUCUCGAUCGCCGUAGAGAUACGGUUUCCCCUUUGGGGCGGGUUCACAGGUGGUGCAUGGUGUCGUCAGCUCGUGUCGUGAGAUGUUGGGUUAAGUCCCGCAACGAGCGCAACCCUCGUUCCAUGUUGCCAGCACGUCGUGGUGGGGACUCAUGGGAGACUGCCGGGGUCAACUCGGAGGAAGGUGAGGACGACGUCAAAUCAUCAUGCCCCUUAUGUCUUGGGCUUCACGCAUGCUACAAUGGCCGGUACAAUGGGUUGCGAUACUGUGAGGUGGAGCUAAUCCCAAAAAGCCGGUCUCAGUUCGGAUUGGGGUCUGCAACUCGACCCCAUGAAGUGGGAGUCGCUUGUAAUCGCAGAUCAGCAACGCUGCGGUGAAUACGUUCCCGGGCCUUGUACACACCGCCCGUCAAGUCACGAAAGUUGGUAACACCCGAAGCCGGUGGCCUAACCCUUGUGGGGGGAGCCGUCGAAGGUGGGACCAGCGAUUGGAC
RNAcentral lists this ribosomal RNA (655 nucleotides) under Micrococcus sp. NASA2-10. RNAcentral describes it as "bacterial SSU rRNA". It matches the Rfam family "Bacterial small subunit ribosomal RNA", at positions 818 to 1481 of the family's 1533-position model. Lineage: Bacteria; Bacillati; Actinomycetota; Actinomycetes; Micrococcales; Micrococcaceae. The record is from RNAcentral.